AGCUGGUGAUGGAGUCUUUGGCGCGGACCAAUCCACUGUUGACCCCACUCUGAGGAAGAAGGGGAGAUCGCAGCCAGACUUGUGUCUUAAGAGCUGAACACCAGAGCCUGUAACCCAUCUAUGUUUGAAGAGCAGACCUGCUGCACUUGAGACAUUUAUGUGGGCAAUAAACUAUCCUGCUUAAACCA
Molecule: long non-coding RNA, 188 nt
Organism: Sus scrofa (pig)
Lineage: Eukaryota; Metazoa; Chordata; Mammalia; Artiodactyla; Suidae
Source: RefSeq, a predicted model, not a curated record